This 433-nucleotide ribosomal RNA is filed under the name uncultured bacterium. RNAcentral describes it as "partial 16S ribosomal RNA". It matches the Rfam family "Bacterial small subunit ribosomal RNA", at positions 29 to 507 of the family's 1533-position model. The record is from RNAcentral.
AACGAACGCUGGCGGCAUGCCUAACACAUGCAAGUCGAACGAAGCCUUCGGGCUUAGUGGCGCACGGGUGCGUAACGCGUGGGAAUCUGCCCCUUGCUUCGGAAUAACAGUUAGAAAUGACUGCUAAUACCGGAUGAAGUCUUCGGACCAAAGAUUUAUCGGCAAGGGAUGAGCCCGCGUAGGAUUAGGUAGUUGGUGGGGUAAAGGCCUACCAAGCCGACGAUCCUUAGCUGGUCUGAGAGGAUGAUCAGCCACACUGGGACUGAGACACGGCCCAGACUCCUACGGGAGGCAGCAGUGGGGAAUAUUGGACAAUGGACGCAAGUCUGAUCCAGCACUGCCGCGUGAGUGAUGAAGGCCUUAGGGUUGUAAAGCUCUUUUACCAGGGAUGAUAAUGACAGUACCUGGAGAAUAAGCCCCGGCUAACUCCGUG